CCAGGCCCUCCAUGGCCCAUCUGGCCGCAGCCGCCCACAAGUGCCCGAGCGCGCCCGCGUCCUAGCGCCGCCCGAACCACGUGCGCCCCUGCUCGCUCGGGUAGAGGAGCUCCCGAGCCGCAGCACCCUCCACCUUGACCCACGCCGUCCGGCGAGCCCCAACGCCGGAGACGCCGCACCAGGAGCAGCCCCUCCAUGGAUUUGGUCAGGAGCUCAGCCGCCGUAGUUCGUGCUCGCACAUGCCGGGAUUCGGUCUGCGUCGAUCAGAUCCGCAUGGAUCCGCCACAACACGGCCGCCCGCCGCCGGACUCCCUCGCUUGCGCCGCUGUCGUCCCAUGCAACUACUCCCGUGGUCGUUCGGGGGCACGAGGAGAAUGAUGAGCGGCUUUCCAGACCGCUUCCUCGCCUCAUGCCGCUCGUGGGCCAGCCCAUCCAGCAGCGUUGACCGGCCCAGUGCCCGCACGGGACUCGCGUUGCCAAGGCUGCGGCCUCCUCAACCCAGCCUAGCACCAGAUCUGGCCCCAAGCCCUCUGAUAUAGGUAAAGGGUUACUUUGACGUGAGCGUGCUGAUUG
Long non-coding RNA from Hordeum vulgare subsp. vulgare (domesticated barley), 573 nucleotides. RefSeq lists it as uncharacterized. The transcript is spliced from 3 exons. The record is from RefSeq and is a predicted model, not a curated record. Lineage: Eukaryota; Viridiplantae; Streptophyta; Magnoliopsida; Poales; Poaceae.